GCCACGGCUCUGGGGUAGAGUAUCUGUUUCACAUGCAGAAGGAUCCAGGUUCAAUCCCUGGCCCCUCCAGUUAAAAGCA
Molecule: transfer RNA, 79 nt
Filed under: Sphaerodactylus townsendi
Lineage: Eukaryota; Metazoa; Chordata; Lepidosauria; Squamata; Sphaerodactylidae
Description: tRNA-Val
Rfam family: tRNA (bases 6-61)
About the family: Transfer RNA (tRNA) molecules are approximately 80 nucleotides in length.
Source: RNAcentral